UAAAUAUCUCCCUCUCCCAAAUACACUAAGCAAUAAAAUAGUUCUCAUAUCUGGGGAAGGUAAGAACCUUCGACAAGGUUCGCGCCGAGCGUAGCGAGACAACGACGCAAAGCGGCGGCCCGAAGGGUGAGGAACGCAGUGACGAAUAAUCCUUCCCCCACCACCA
Molecule: small RNA, 166 nt
Filed under: Yersinia pestis KIM D27
Lineage: Bacteria; Pseudomonadati; Pseudomonadota; Gammaproteobacteria; Enterobacterales; Yersiniaceae
Description: RtT RNA
Rfam family: RtT RNA (bases 40-166)
About the family: This family represents a bacterial cis-regulatory element known as RtT RNA. The exact function of RtT is unknown although it is thought that it may be involved in changing the cellular response in relation to amino acid starvation.
Source: RNAcentral